GCGGACGGGUGAGUAACACGUGGAUAACCUACCUAUAAGGCUGGGAUAACUUCGGGAAACCGGAGCUAAUACCGGAUAAUAUAUUGAACCGCAUGGUUCAAUAGUGAAAGACGGUUUUGCUGUCACUUAUAGAUGGAUCCGCGCCGCAUUAGCUAGUUGGUAAGGUAACGGCUUACCAAGGCGACGAUGCGUAGCCGACCUGAGAGGGUGAUCGGCCACACUGGAACUGAGACACGGUCCAG
This 242-nucleotide ribosomal RNA is filed under the name uncultured Staphylococcus sp. RNAcentral's name for it is "partial 16S ribosomal RNA". It matches the Rfam family "Bacterial small subunit ribosomal RNA", at positions 98 to 334 of the family's 1533-position model. The record is from RNAcentral. Lineage: Bacteria; Bacillati; Bacillota; Bacilli; Caryophanales; Staphylococcaceae.